RNAcentral lists this ribosomal RNA (447 nucleotides) under uncultured bacterium. Its description in RNAcentral is "partial 16S ribosomal RNA". It matches the Rfam family "Bacterial small subunit ribosomal RNA", at positions 29 to 523 of the family's 1533-position model. The record is from RNAcentral.
AGCGAACGCUGGCGGCAGGCUUAACACAUGCAAGUCGAACGCCCCGCAAGGGGAGUGGCAGACGGGUGAGUAACACGUGGGAACGUACCCUUUGGUUCGGAAUAACUUGGGGAAACUCAAGCUAAUUCCGGAUAAGCCCUUAUGGGGAAAGGUUUACUGCCGAAGGAUCGGCCCGCGUCUGAUUAGCUAGUUGGUGAGGUAAUGGCUCACCAAGGCGACGAUCAGUAGCUGGUCUGAGAGGAUGAUCAGCCACACUGGGACUGAGACACGGCCCAGACUCCUACGGGAGGCAGCAGUGGGGAAUAUUGGACAAUGGGGGCAACCCUGAUCCAGCCAUGCCGCGUGAGUGAUGAAGGCCUUAGGGUUGUAAAGCUCUUUUACCCGGGACGAUAAUGACUGUACCGGGAGAAUAAGCCCCGGCUAACUUCGUGCCAGCCGCCGCUGUAA